RNAcentral lists this ribosomal RNA (274 nucleotides) under uncultured bacterium. RNAcentral's name for it is "partial 16S ribosomal RNA". It matches the Rfam family "Bacterial small subunit ribosomal RNA", at positions 523 to 796 of the family's 1533-position model. The record is from RNAcentral.
AUACGGAGGGUGCAAGCGUUGUUCGGAAUUACUGGGCGUAAAGCGCGCGUAGGCGGUCUGUUAUGUCAGAUGUGAAAGUCCACGGCUCAACCGUGGAAGUGCAUUUGAAACUGGCAGACUUGAGUACUGGAGGGGGUAGUGGAAUUCCCGGUGUAGAGGUGAAAUUCGUAGAUAUCGGGAGGAAUACCGGUGGCGAAGGCGACUCACUGGCCCGAUACUGACGCUGAGGCGCGAAAGCGUGGGGAGCAAACAGGAUUAGAUACCCUAGUAGUCC